Cyprinus carpio carpio is the source of this 3760-nucleotide long non-coding RNA. The record is from Ensembl. NCBI's taxonomy places the organism in Eukaryota, Metazoa, Chordata, Actinopteri, Cypriniformes, Cyprinidae.
UCCCAAACUUGGGUUUGUGAAUGAACUGCAGGGAGUUCAUCGUUUUUUAGCCAUCAGCCUGCAUGAUUUUAAUGUAUUUUUAAAUAAUCAUGUUAGACAGUGAAACUCAGGAUGGAAAAUUACAUUACCCAUGAUUCUGCAGAGCAAUCACCACCAAAUUGCACCAAAAUAAUAUUUUAGCAUCUAAAAUUUCCCAGCUCUCUCCAAAUUAUCUAGUAUUUUGCAAUAAAUGUAAAAUAUAUUGUCAACAUUUCUAAAUCAAUCAUUGUAUAUUUCUUCAUUGUUUUAAUUCAUCUCACUCACAAUUUAGAUCCAGAUUUAUUAAACAAUGCAAAUUAGCAUAAGAUAGUAAUCCCAUGAAAGAACCAAUGGGAGUGGAAAGUUCUGCAGUAGAUCUACUGACAAUGCAUACAAUAAAGAACACAGAUGCAGCCAGAUUAUUUCCAUAAUGACAACUGCAAUCUACCGAGAGCAGCAUCUCUCUUUUUUUUUUUUAAGUGUUAAAUUAUGGCACGAAUACCAAUAAACUGACUUGCACAAACCUUAGUAAAUUGUUGCAUGAUUCAUUUAAAUGCUUUCCUCCCAUAAAUUUUGCGUCUGACAGGGAAACUCCAACAAAUGCAAAUGCUAUAUUAGGAAGUAUCAGACUGCUGGAUGGUGCAAUUAGCCAAUCAGAGUCACGUAUUCCAGAGAGCUGUGUAAUAAUUAAUGAGAGGUUUCAAACAAAGAUACUGGCAUUUGACAGCGGUUAGUUAAUGAUCUUGAAGAUCCUGGCAAUUAUUGUUGAAACAACAUAUAUCAAAUUAAUUGGGAUUCUAACACCCCUGCCAUGCUGGUGAGGUUAAUUGCGUUACUUGUUGGGGAAAAUGUGAUUUACAUGUGUGCCAUUGUACAAGGACAGAGGUUGGGCCAAUAUGAGAGGUUUCGAAGCCGGUUACAGCUCUGUACAUUCAAGCACGGGUCAGAUGUGAAUUAAAUGACCUGCGAAGACUUCGGGAGAUUGUGGUUUCAGAGUGGCAUUAAGGAGGAGAUUGUUAGGCAUAAAUUGUAAACAGUACCUUCAUGUUUAGACUAUCAAAGGCUUUUUUGGUCCUCUUUAUUUUUUGUAUUUUUUUUUUUUAAUUGUAGCAUCUGCAUGUAGUAAUAUAAAAGCAGACCAGUUUUGAUUCACUUUUUAAGUGACUGGGUUAUUUUCUCAUUUGAACAGAAGAUGUAUUCUUACUUUUAGCAGCUCUGUGAUGCUGCUACUGAACUUGUAAGCCCAUUAAGUCCAUGAUUUCCCAGAAUCACCAACCUUAAAAAUGUCAUUACUCUAUUCCAACUCUGCACUUUGCCACAAUUCAACCCUUUGUGACUUUGUUGAUGUCAACCUUAUUGUAGCACUAAACAAUUCAGCUGCACUCUAAUCUCAUCAGACAUUAAUCACAGGAGACUUUGCUCUGAUGUGGUUAGAUGAGUUGUUCUGAAGUAGCUGCUAAAGGGGGAAGAGCGAAUCAUGAAUAUUGCUGAUGUUAGAAAGAACUCCCACUCCCAUAUAAUGGACUGGAGUCAUGAAUGUAGGUUGUUCCAAAAUGCAGGCAGAAUAAUUAUGCCUCCUUCUAAGAUCUCUAAUUUCAGCUAAAUUCUAAAGCAGCAUAGCAUGCAUUCUUUGUGGUAAAGCCAUACUUCAUCCUGUCAGCAUUUACAUUAACCACUCUCAUGUUCCUCAAAACUAACUUUUUUCCCCCCUCUGGAACAUAAAAGGAGAGAUGUUAAAGAAUUCAUAAUUGGGCUUGCUUUUUAUUUCUGUAUUUUAUUUAUUUAGAAAUAUAAAUAUAAUGUUUUACUAUUAAAAUGGUAUAAUGUUUUAAAUAUUUGUAAUAUAAUGUUACAUUUACUAUAAUAUUUAAUAUAUAACAUUUUUACGAUUAUUGUUAUUAUUAUUAUUAUUAUUAUUAUUAUUAUUAUUAUUAUUAUUAUUAUAUUUGGUGUAAUGCAAUGUGUUUAUGCGGUUUAAGGUUCAAAAAACACAUUAUUUUCCACAUAAUGUACAUUAUGGUUUCUCCUUUAUGCCCGCCUUUCUGAAACACGUCAAUUUUUACAAAGCUCAUCAUUCUGAAAAGUGAGGUGUGCUCUAAUUGGCCAGCUAUCCAGUGCAUUGUGAUUGGCCGAAUGCCUCAAGCGUGUGACGGAAAUGUUACGCCCCUUACCAUACUGUGAUGCCGUCUCCUGGCACAAGCAGACGAAACCAAUAAAACCCAUUAGAAAUGAAGCAUUUGUUGCAUCAGUGCCCCCGUGUCAACUAGCUUGGCCCCUGCUCUGGCCCCCUUAAAUUUGGAAUCGUAUCACACAAAACAAUUUUAGUUGCGAUGUGCAGUUUGUCCUGUGGGUGGCAGUAAUGGAAAAAAUAAAACGUCACCAGCUGCUACUGUUGCAGAGCCAGAAGGUUUUUAUUUAUUUUUAUUUUUUUGUUUACAGCGCUGCGCAUUAAAAUCAAUAAUACAUGAUUCUGCUGCGCUUAUAAAUGCAGUGGCCAAUCAGAUGCGUUCAUAUGAGUCAUUGCCGAAACGCCAGUGUUUGUAUAAAGUGCGCACGCUCGCUGACUGAAUUCUGCUCUCUGGCGAAUUUUCUCAUCAUAAACAACAAAGUGCAGAUGUGUGUAGGAAUGUAAGUAAGAUAUUCAUUUUAAAGAGAUAUUCAUUUUAAAUAAGAUAUUCAUUUUAAAGGGCGUUUAUAAGAGUGCUUGAUCUCGGGCUAGAAUGAAGUCAGUGAUAUUGUUUUUUAUAAUGUAUAUGUUCUUUGCUCUCUUUCUGUAAUGUAAAAGGAUUAUAAUUUGUAAUUUACAAUGUUUUUAUUAAAUUCAAAUUAAAUACAAAGUCAGUCGUAUUAAAAAUAUUUUAUGGCAUGACACCCAUAUCUGGUACUUAAGUAAAAAGAGGGUUUUUUGCAUAGUUUAAUAUUAAACUAUAGCUUGCAUAGUUUAUUAGAUUACGCUAUUAUGCUACUUUGCCCAAUGCCCUUUAUAGAUUAACUAACAUAAUCUAUAAAGGUACAAAAUGCAUUUACUUACUGUAUUUGAGAAUCAAAAUAUUUCAUGAUAUAGUUAACAUGUUUGGGAAUAUUUUGAAUAAAAAGUAAAAAAAUAAAUAAAACAUAAGCCUAUAUCAGUUAUACAGUGCUAUUGGGGCUGCUGUGUGUCACAUGACAAAGCAUGACGCCACUGAAACUACAAUAUAAUUUUUUUGGUUAGAUAAAUUAAACAUGAUGAAACAUUCAUUUGAGUUUAAAUUGUUAUAGCUUACUUCUAGAGAUUGUAGUGAUAAAUGACAUGGUAAAAAAUGACUGAAUUAAUAAUAUUGAAAGUAGAUUAAAAUGAAUUUUAAAAGUGUGCCCCCUAAAAGCGCAAGUGGCCCCUGCCUGGCCCCCAGUUACUGUGGUCUAGAACUACCACUGGUCUGACCUCUGUUGAUGCAUGCACAUACACGCGCACAAGUGCACAGAUCCAAGGUCCUCAUAACAUACAGUAGCUACAAUAAUCUACUGUUAAAAUACUUUAGCAUAUGCAUGGGAGACUUCAGUGAGUGAAGUAAAGGGCUUUUAGCUUAUUCCUAAAGCAUCAGCCAUGGGAAUGAGGGAUUUGCCGAUUGAACGGAAGGCUGAUACACAGCCACUUUUCCUGUGAUGGUGAAGUUUUAGUGUGACGCUCUUUCAUCUCUAGAAUCUGAAUGGCUGAUGGGCCUCCUUUAAACUAAAAAGAAACUUUUCUGUAGAUUAAUUUUUG